CCUGCAAGAUCCCGGCAGCAGCGCAGAGAAGCCAGGCGAGCUGAAGUGCAUCAGCCGCUGGCAGCGACCACUCAGGCCCCAGCCCCAUUCUUGGGGCAUUUGAGGAGCCGAUGAACUGCGCCCCUCGGUGGACGGGGGAAACCCUGCAAACUCGGGCAGGCCUCCUCCUGCAGGAGGAAGCGGCUGGAGGGCUCCGCCUCGAGGAGGUGUGGCUAGGGGAGGGAGGCGGGGCGGGGCAAGGGCUAUUUGGUUUAUCAGCCGCCGCCAGGCUGAACCACGAUUCAAUGAGAUGUUCUCGCUGCGUAGAAGUGGCGCUGGAGAACUGGAUACACGUGAAGCUGCCUGACGCUUUAGUCGCCCCUUGGACGAGCUGUUGUGACUUGGCCGCGUCUCAGGUUUGACCACCAGAUGGCAUUCAUACCCCAAUAACAGUCACUCACUGCACUGAUUGGUCCAUUGUAUUUAAUUGUGGUUUUCUGCCUUGGAAGGCAUCUGAUUUGCUUCCCAGAAGUACUACCAGGUCAUGGGCCUGAUCUGUAGCUCUGUCGUCUCAGGAGAUGAAAGCAAGACCUCACAAGAUGAUGUGAACAUGCUGCUCCCAUUAAAGAUGGGUGAAGACUUAUGUGACACCUACAGGACUAACAAAUGCAUUGUGGUACAAGCUUUUGUGGGCUAGAGCCUGCUUCAUCAGAUGCAUGAAUUGUUGCUCUCAGACUGGUAUAAACAGAUACACAGAACAACAUAUAUACAGAACAACAAAUUCAAGAAGAGGGAGGCUGUGGUUACAAGUGUAGGUCUGAAGGUCCAACGGUCCAGGUGAUAGGUAUGUUACAAUAAUAUCCGAGGAACAAAUGGAAACAAGAUACAGUUAGAAUAGAAAAAGAUCCAGACAGAAUGGGUGUAGAGCACUCCCAACCGGUGAAGAAUUGGAAGAACGUGUGAAUAAUAGAAAAGCUUUUAACAGCUAAGGGAGGUGGCUGCCACUCUACAGCACUGACAGCCUGACCGACACCAGUAUAUGGAUCUGUAAAGCACUAAAUAACACCUAGUAACAACUGUUUGAAAAAUUAUAAAUGCUUCUUUCCUUUUGAACAAUUAGUUGUAGCUAACUAAGAGAAUACUCAGCAGUCCUUAAAGGAGUAUUAACAGUCUCUGUGGGUAGCCAUAGGAAAACAUAAGAGGGGGAGAGAGGUAGAGAACAGCACUACAGGACUCCCCGCUUGCAAACAAACUAAGCACUUAGUAACAACAAUGAAUAUAGUGCCAAAACAACAACUAGUAACAUCAACACACAUCUUGGAUUCUCUGUUGACUUAAAUUUUUGUAUAUUAUGGCCUUUUACUGUAUAUUUUGUCUUAAAAUUAUUUGUUGUUUUUAAUUGUUGUUAGCUGCCCUGAGCCCAUCAGGGGAGGGCGGCAUAUAAAUAUGGUAAAAUAAAAUAAAAAGAGCAGGGCUUUUUU
Heteronotia binoei (common prickly gecko) is the source of this 1460-nucleotide long non-coding RNA. RefSeq lists it as uncharacterized. Lineage: Eukaryota; Metazoa; Chordata; Lepidosauria; Squamata; Gekkonidae. The record is from RefSeq and is a predicted model, not a curated record. The transcript has 2 exons.